GUGACUGUGUAUGGAUAGUGUUCAGCACCAAGGACAGGUGUGUGUACCUGUGUGUGGAUGGUGCUCAGCACCAGGGACAGGUGUGUUUACCU
Molecule: non-coding RNA, 92 nt
Organism: Branchiostoma floridae (Florida lancelet)
Lineage: Eukaryota; Metazoa; Chordata; Leptocardii; Amphioxiformes; Branchiostomatidae
Source: Rfam